CCUUUGGAGCCCCCUACAGUUAAGUGAGUGGAAUUCACUGUCGUAGGUGACAAAAUUUGCUGUACACGUGCAUUUAAUCCACCCUUUUCGCGGAAUUUCGUACGCUCAUCAGGCGUUUGGGAAGCGUGGGAAAGAAGCCGAUCGCAUUUGGAAGUCAGUGUACCAUUACAAUGACUUUAAAACUGUUAUUCCAAGAGCCAUCUAAUAUGACUUCUGAAGAUUGCUGGAAUAACACACACGAAUCAUAAGGACUACAUAUGUGGUACUUUCAUUUGCUUUUUGGUGCUUCACAGACACAAGUAUCGUCUGUUCCCUCAUCUGCUUGUUUCGUGAAUGAAAACAUUAUGGUUGACACAAAUAAAGAUAUGUGCCCUUCUAUAAGAGGAAAGCCAAGGAAAGAAAACCUGAGCCCUGAGGACAGAGCAAGGUCAGAUCGGAUAAAACCAGAAACAUCCAUACAGAGAGUCCUCAUCAAUGGACCAGACACCAGUGAAAGAAAAACAUUACAGUUCACUUGCCUUUACACAGCUAGAGUUCUUUAAAACUGUGUUCAGCUAUGUUCAAGGAGGAAGUGAACAUUUUAGAUAAUAUCCUUUAAAACAUUGAUACUUUCUUUACGUAGGCAUUAUAUCCAGCAUUAAUCUAUCUACAUAUUGUUUCCAAUUGUUUGAUCACUUUACAGAUUAAAAUUGUAUUAUUAUUAUUAUUUAUUUAUUUAUUUAUUUAUUUUUUCAAACGGUUUGUUAGUAGCAAGUUCUAAAAAUGACAUUUAAUUUAAGUUGGUUUAAAUGUCAAUUUGGAGCUCAGAGAUAUAUAUAGCCAUCUGGGCCAUGGUUCAAGUAAUUUUCGACAGCAUGCAUUGUGUUAAUUUGAUCACAUUUUUGUACACGACUAUUCCCCCUUGAACUUAUUAAUGCUGAUUUUACAUUUUAAUGAGUGCUACUCCUCAUGCAGUGUCCACUCUAUAGUACGUGAUGUGAAUGUGAGUUGCUGGUAGUGUUGUGAUUCUAACCAAAGGUAGUCAAUGACUCGGGCCAUUAUUUUCACAAUCGGGAAAGAAACAAAAGGAGAAGGAACAAGAACAACAAACUAUAGGAGACUGCAAAAAACAACAGAUGCCCACAAUGAGCAAUUGUGUGAGUGGAUUAAAAUUAAUAAAACUCUAGUUUAAACGAGUACAAAUAUAUUCUUAAACUCAUAACAUUUGAAGAGAAAAAGCACAGAAAGGGGACAAGGAUGAAUCAUUCUAGUGUGCACGUAGAGUGCCUGUGUGCAUGCACACUAUCAAAUGGAGUAUAUUUUGAAAGGCAGUCCAUUCGGCUGUGUGAAUGCUAACGUGUAAAAAAGUAUACAUCAUGUGCACUGUAUAUAUGCCUUAGAGUACACAUGGCUUUAGCCUUUGAAUUUCUUUUUUUUCUUUUCUUCUUUUCUUCACUAUCCUGGAAGACCUAGACAGUACUUGAAGAGAACCAAGAUCUUCUAGAUCAUUAAUAGAGAGACGUCUCUCCUUCAAGCACUGGCCCACUCAAUUCUCAGAAGAGAUAAAGUAGAGGCAGAAAAAGAACAAAGAGAAGCACUUUUCCUACCUCCUACCUUCCUUCUUUCUUCUUUUCUCAAUAUUCUUAUUCCCCACAAUCAAACAUGUAUUCUUCACUCUCUUGGAGCACCACAAACUGAACCUUUGUAUACAUCUUAAAACUGCUGGGUU
Cyprinus carpio (common carp) is the source of this 1708-nucleotide long non-coding RNA. RefSeq lists it as uncharacterized. The record is from RefSeq and is a predicted model, not a curated record. The transcript has 4 exons. Lineage: Eukaryota; Metazoa; Chordata; Actinopteri; Cypriniformes; Cyprinidae.